GUUUCACUUUCGUGUUUCUGUUGUUUCGUUGUUUUCCUUUUAUACUUGAUGUGUCUCCCUCCGUUUUAUUUGCAACCUGAAUUUUUUUACUGUCAAUCAAUAAAUUACUUUUGAACAGCGGUAUACUACUGUUGCCUGUAUUUAAAUAUCCGAAUGAGGAGAUUUUCUGUUAUACGAUUUUCAUCUCUCUAUGUACACCGUUUAAAUAUUUAGCGGUAGACGAUUUAAAAAUAAAUAUAUCACUCAUAUCUCUAUUUAAGCCGCUAUCAGCAAAAA
This 276-nucleotide long non-coding RNA is filed under the name Mytilus galloprovincialis (Mediterranean mussel). Lineage: Eukaryota; Metazoa; Mollusca; Bivalvia; Mytilida; Mytilidae. The record is from RNAcentral.